AUUGAACGCUGGCGGCAUGCCUUACACAUGCAAGUCGAACGGUAACGCGGGGCAACCUGGCGACGAGUGGCGAACGGGUGAGUAAUGCAUCGGAACGUGCCCAGUAGUGGGGGAUAGCCCGGCGAAAGCCGGAUUAAUACCGCAUACGACCUCCGGGUGAAAGGGGGGGAGCGCAAGCCCUCUCGCGAUUGGACCGGCCGAUGUCAGAUUAGGUAGUGGGUGGGGUAAAGGCCCACCAAGCCGACGAUCUGUAGCUGGUCUGGGAGGACGACCAGCCACACUGGGACUGAGACACGGCCCAGACUCCUACGGGAGGCAGCAGUGGGGAAUUUUGGACAAUGGGCGCAAGCCUGAUCCAGCCAUGCCGCGUGCGGGAAGAAGGCCUUCGGGUUGUAAACCGCUUUUGUCAGGGAAGAAAUCUUUUGAGUUAAUACCUCGGAAGGAUGACGGUACCUGAAGAAUAAGCACCGGCUAACUACGUGCCAGCCGCCGCCGUAA
This 498-nucleotide ribosomal RNA is filed under the name uncultured bacterium. RNAcentral describes it as "partial 16S ribosomal RNA". It matches the Rfam family "Bacterial small subunit ribosomal RNA", at positions 29 to 523 of the family's 1533-position model. The record is from RNAcentral.